RNAcentral lists this ribosomal RNA (253 nucleotides) under uncultured bacterium. Its description in RNAcentral is "partial 16S ribosomal RNA". It matches the Rfam family "Bacterial small subunit ribosomal RNA", at positions 524 to 776 of the family's 1533-position model. The record is from RNAcentral.
UACGUAGGGGGCUAGCGUUGUCCGGAAUCAUUGGGCGUAAAGAGCGUGUAGGCGGCCCGGUAAGUCCGCUGUGAAAGCCCGAGGCUCAACCUCGGAACUGCCUUCGAUACUGCGGGUCUCGAGUCCGGGAGAGGUGAGUGGAAUUCCUAGUGUAGAGGUGAAAUUCGUAGAUAUUAGGAAGAACACCAGUGGCGAAGGCGGCUCACUGGCCCGGUACUGACGCUGAGGCGCGAAAGCGUGGGGAGCAAACAGG